GCAUCGAUGAAGAACGCAGCGNGACGCGAUAGGUAAUGUGAAUUGCAGAAUUCCGUGAAUCAUCGAAUCUUUGAACGCACCUUGCGCUCCAUGGCAUUCCGUGGAGCAUGCCUGUUUGAGUGCCGCGAAAUCUCCCACCCCUAGCGGUUGCCGCAAGGCGCCGCCGGGCGGCGGGGUUGGUUGGGUGCCGCUGCCUGGGCUUUGGCCCAGGCUCGCCCGAAAUGCAUGAGCGCUUAGCACUCGCACCGUCUCGAGGGAAGGCGGCGGAGCUGGCAUCUGCGCAUGGCAUGAUACGUCAUUUGCUGUGUGGCAGCCCAGCGACCCGAGAGUGUGUGUGCGCUACUACACGCCCUUUCAUUUCUGGUCUCAAAUCAGGUAGGAUCACCCGCUGAACUUAAGCAUAUCAAUAAGCGGAGGA
This 418-nucleotide ribosomal RNA is filed under the name uncultured fungus. Its description in RNAcentral is "eukaryotic LSU rRNA". The stretch from base 1 to 125 matches the Rfam family "5.8S ribosomal RNA", at positions 30 to 154 of the family's 154-position model. Lineage: Eukaryota; Fungi. The record is from RNAcentral.